Canis lupus familiaris (dog) is the source of this 2643-nucleotide long non-coding RNA. RefSeq lists it as uncharacterized. NCBI's taxonomy places the organism in Eukaryota, Metazoa, Chordata, Mammalia, Carnivora, Canidae. The transcript has 4 exons. The record is from RefSeq and is a predicted model, not a curated record.
UCAAAUAAGGAUGCCCAAGGUCCUGACCUUAGGGAAUUCUGUUGACCCAAAGCACCUUUAAACUCAUCCUUUAGAACAUAGACCAGAGAGAGACAAGCCAUAUGGCUCUUCAGGUAGAGCUGUCAGAUUUAGCAACAGGGACAAAAAGGAUGCAAUUUUUUAGUAUGAGUAUACCCCUAUGUUGGAUUUGGGAUAUACUUACACUAUUUUGUGUGUGUGUGUGUGUGGGGGGUAUAUCUGGAAUUCAGAUUUACCUGGGGGUCCUGUGUCUUAUUUGGCAACACUAUCUUUAGGUGGUGGUUCUCACAUAUGGAAAAAGCUCAGAGAGAUGUUCUCACAGUGCAGAAAUCUUCCAUUUUCUUGGAACAGGAUUUGACCUGUAAUUGAGAACAAAAAAAAAAGGCCCCUGAAUCCCACUGAAGCGCUCUCAGAAUUCAGGCUGGACUGGAAGACUAGAGGGUGUCUGCAUAUCCCUGUCUGAAAAAGUGGCCUCUGCUCCCCAUUGGUGGUCCUAUUUGCACACCCACCCUGGAGAAUCUUUCCCUGGACCUGGCUGCAGAGAGGAAACGUGACUGCGGGCGGGCGAGUCUCUGCCCGGCUCUCUCUGGAAGGGGGAGACGUGGCUAUUUCAUAAACCCACACACAACAGGCACAUUUCCUGCUGGAGCUGGGGAGGCAGGGGGACUCUUCACUGCUCUUUUCCUCUGCCAUCAAUCUUUUUCCUCUUUCAAGGAGAGGCACCAUUACUCAUGGGCCGACAAACUGAACAGAGGGGAGGAGGGCCAGGGGCAGAAGAGGAGACCUGACUGGUAGGUGUUGGAUCCGACAAUCCAGGGGAGGAGGGAAUCCCAACAGGACCAGACAAAGCUGACCAGGAGCCAGAGAGUUUCAGGGGAUUAGAUAUGGGGGGAGGAGGGGAUGGGAAGUCACAGGUGCUUAUGCAGAUCCUUCAGGGCCAUUGGAACCUCUCCAUCUGUAUCUGUGUCGGAAGGAAGGACGGUGCUGUGGCCCCGGUUGGGGUUCAGGGCCACAGUUCAGUCUUGACCUGCCUGACUCACUUUCCCACGCACAUCCCUGUCUCUUCAUUUGUCAAAUGAGGGGCCAGAUCCAAAUGAUUUUUUUUUAAGAUUUUAUUGAUUUAUUCAUGAGAGACACAGAAAGAGAGGCAGAGACACAGACAGAGGGAGCAGCAGGCUCCCCGAGGGGACCCCGAUGUGGGACUCAAUCCCGGGACCCCAGGAUCAUGCCAUGAGCCGAAGGCAGACACUCAACCACUGAGCCACCCAGGCGUUCCUAUUGAUCCAAACGAUUCUUACAGUCCCUCGGAUUAUCUGCUUUUCCUUCCAUUCUCCACAUGCUACAAGCUUAGGGAAUUCUGCUGCUUACUUCCUUUCAUGAAAAUCUGAAGCCCUGAGAAACCCUAGGGAGCCCCUGAGCCCCAUGAUUUUCUUUGAAGGUGAUGCAAAGGGACACCACGUCCAACAAGACGUCUCCUCCGGGACAGUGUAACCUGAGGGAAGCAGGACAACAGCUAAAUUCCAGAGCCUCAUCAGACGGGCCCUCCAUGUCUUCGUAAAACUGAACUGACAAGCAUGACCUCCCCUUGGCGGUUCACCUUAUUGAAGCUGUCUGCUAGAUGCAGUAAGGCUCCGCUUCAAUACCAUGUCCUCCUCGCCGAAGGGCCCUGACUGAAGGAAGGCCGUGCUUAUGACGUGGGAAUGGUCAAUCCAGGGGGCUGAGGGGCUCUACGUGCGAGCCCCAGUACUGGGACCACAGUGCCUGUUCCACGGCUCUGGACAGGCCACUCCAAACUCAGUUGCCCCAGCCGGGAACUGGAUUAAAACUGUCCACGGCUUUUGCUCCAUGGAGCUACAGAUUCAAACAGGCUUCUCUCCCCAGAUUGAGAUGUCACAAGAAUCAUUUCAGUUCCUCAUGAAACCGUGGCAUGGAGCCAUCCCACACAAGGUCCCUGAAUCACAGGGGAGGCCUUGCUGGCUACAGUCAGGCACUGGGGUGCCAUGGGCCGGUUAUAUUCUUGGGCAGGAUCUGGAAGGCCCACACCUUUGUUCUGACCACUACCUCCUCUGUAGUGUUUUGCUCCUGGGAAUAGCCCUGACAUCUGUCCAAUGCAAAGGGUGUUACUGUGGUGCAGUGGCUCUCAGCCAUGACGUUGCAUCAUUAGAACUCCUUAAAAGAUCUAAACAAUAAUCUGAUGCUUGGUCUGCACUCUUGGGGAUUCUCGUAUAGUAGGUCUGGGGUGGCAACGGGGCAGCUGAUUAUUAGAACACGGUCGCCUGGCCUGGGAAUCAUUGUUCUAGACUCUAGAAUCUAGAGCAGUGAUUUCCAAACAUUUCCAUGCAUCAGAAUCCCCUGGAGGGCUUGUUAAAACACAGAUUGCUGGGCCCCACCCUAGAGUUUCUGGGAGUUCUGGGGUGGGACCCGUGGAUUUGCCUUUCUAGCAAGUUCCCAGGUGUUGCUGAGGCUGCUGGGGGCAAGACUGUGAGAACCACUAUUUUAGUACCCCAUCAGGUCGGACCAGGGAAGGGACUUGAACAGACAGAGAAACAUGGGCUUGAUUCAGGGUAUUUGAGUCCUGUGGGGAAACCACUGGCAAGUCUGUCUCUCCAGAUCUCGGUUUUGUUG